RNAcentral lists this ribosomal RNA (671 nucleotides) under uncultured bacterium. RNAcentral describes it as "bacterial SSU rRNA". It matches the Rfam family "Bacterial small subunit ribosomal RNA", at positions 8 to 662 of the family's 1533-position model. The record is from RNAcentral.
AGAGUUUGAUCCUGGCUCAGGACGAACGCUGGCGGCAUGCCUAAUACAUGCAAGUCGAGCGGAAUGAUGAGAGCUUGCUCUCUGAUUUUAGCGGCGGACGGGUGAGUAACACGUGGGCAACCUGCCCUACAGAUGGGGAUAACUCCGGGAAACCGGGGCUAAUACCGAAUAAUCAGUUUGUCCGCAUGGACAAACUCUGAAAGACGGUUUCGGCUGUCACUGUAGGAUGGGCCCGCGGCGCAUUAGCUAGUUGGUGGGGUAAUGGCCUACCAAGGCAACGAUGCGUAGCCGACCUGAGAGGGUGAUCGGCCACACUGGGACUGAGACACGGCCCAGACUCCUACGGGAGGCAGCAGUAGGGAAUCUUCCACAAUGGACGAAAGUCUGAUGGAGCAAUGCCGCGUGAGCGAAGAAGGUUUUCGGAUCGUAAAGCUCUGUUGUAAGGGAAGAACAAGUACGGGAGUAACUGCCCGUGCCAUGACGGUACCUUAUUAGAAAGCCACGGCUAACUACGUGCCAGCAGCCGCGGUAAUACGUAGGUGGCAAGCGUUGUCCGGAAUUAUUGGGCGUAAAGCGCGCGCAGGCGGUUCUUUAAGUCUGAUGUGAAAGCCCACGGCUCAACCGUGGAGGGUCAUUGGAAACUGGGGAACUUGANUACAGAAGAGGAAAGC